Molecule: non-coding RNA, 98 nt
Submitted as: unclassified sequences
Source: Rfam
ACUAUUUGAGGUGGAAGAAUUCGUACGAUCCACACGCCGAUGGUAAUGACAGGGGGAAACCCGAGAGAUGCAGGAGGAGCGUACGCCUGCCAAAUAGU